GUCAUUACAACAGUUCAAAUGAGAGGACGAGAAGGAGAGAUUGAACCAAGUGAGUAGCAAAAGAAUGGAAAGGAAAGUUUAGAUUAGAAAACAUAUCGAGAAAGAAUAAAAAAGGCGAUAAAAUGUAGUGGAUAGGAGAAGAGCUGGGGGUGAUGAGAUGAGGAUGACAUCAAGCUUUCCAGCUUGAGCCAAAGGUGGAUGCUGAAAUUGACAAAGUGAGAAGUUGAACAGGUUUGGGGAAAGCUGUGCGUGUGGGAGGAGGAUAAAAGGAGCUGUUUAGAAGAUGAGUAAAAGGAGACCAUGUUUCUUCAGAGAGGUUAAGAAGUUGAGUAUAAGGGCCUCCUGUGAGAGGAAACAGAAGAAGACAUGGUUUUCCAGAGAGCUGACCCGGUUCCGUCCUGACUGCUGCUUACUGUGAUAACCGCCCCCCCUAAGCCUUGUGCCUCAACUCUACGAUGAGCAUAAUACUACUACUUCAGAGGGGUGUUGUGAGAUUUAAAUAUGGUAAAAUCCGUAAACAGGUGGCAUAUGGGCAGUGUCAGUUGAUGUGAGCUGUCUUUUCUCCCCCACCUCUCCUGAAUUAGGAGGAAAAAGACAAUAUGCUACCAAUCAGGCACGUUAGGAGGGUCAGAGCCACUCGGGGUCCCUCAGUCUCAUAUGGUGGGAAGAACGUCUAGAAUGACCUGGGCAACCUCGCAGUCAGCCUUCCUGAGGAGCUGCACCAUUGACAUUCGCCCAGGCUGCAGCCGCUCAGCUGGACCCAAGUUGGACUGAGACCAGAGCCUGGCAUUGUCCCUCAGGCUGGAGAGGAGUGUCAAGAGGGAACUGAAGAACAAAGACAGCAGAUUCUGAGCUUUUAAUUUCAAAGACUUGGAUUCAGGUAUUUUCAGGAGCUUGAGAUAAUCAGAUAAACUAGUACCCAUCCCACCUCCAUCUCCACUAAAUAAAGGUGCCCUAGGCUGGGGGAAAGGGUUGUUGAGGAGAGAAAGGAAAUAAGAGUUUGAAUUGACUGUGCAUGUGGUGGUGGUUGAAGGGAGGGAGGACUCUGAACCAGAGCCUGUCUUAUUUCCUGGGCCAGACCUGGGGAGGAGAUAAUAAUAUCCCCAAAAGGUUUGGUGGUCCCAGAGCAAAGUGACUCUGUUACUUGAUUCCCAGAGUGCAGCCUUGGGAAGAAGCUCCACGUCCGGUGUGUAUCUUUGAGGCCAAUAGACCUGAGGGAAACUCAUGGAGGCUCCAUCAGGCUCAGCCUCACCCCUCAAAGGGGUGUGGGAGAACACCCAAAGGUUUCAGUGGCCCACUGAGUAGGGCACGGAAGAGAGCAGACAGAGAGAGCCUACAACCCCUGGGAGCCAUGGCUGUCAGGUAGGGAGGGCACAGAGUAAGCUGCGUGGACCUGAAAGAUGGAGACCAGAAGUCCUUGGACAUGUCAGGAAAUGCCCAUGGGGCUGUGUGGAGAGCUGGCGGCAGCCAAGGGCCAUGAUGGGAGGACUGUGGGCAUCAUGGGAAUCAGGUGGACUGUUCUCCUCUGCAUGCCACACCCUCAGGUACACCCCUCAGCUCUUCUCUCUCUCAGUCCAGGGUUUUGGCCGUGAGUCUGUGUGGGUAAUCUUGUAUUUGUAUGUGUGUCAUCUUGUAUUUUGUUUGCUUACAAUUUUUUGAAAAUUAUACUUUAGCAUCCUUAGAGUCCCUCUCUAGACCUAAUAACUCACUUGGCAUAAAUAAGCAAACAAACUAAGCUGGCUCUAUCUAGCCCCGCUUAUUAGAAUGUGUGUGUGGGUACUUGUUGCCCUUCGUACUUGGUUGCAAUUCCAAGAGAGGAAACAUCUCACUUAAUAUCCUAUGUCAAGUAGGUAUUAUUUUUACCAUUUUACACAUGAAUAAAGUGUGGUUCAGAGAAGUAAAGUACAUUGCCCAAGCCCGCACAGCUAAUGGUAGCAGAGAUGGGAUUUGCACUCUGCAAGUUUCCCAAGACUCUGCUUUUCCGUCACAUCACACAAACUCCCUACUACUAGCCUAAGUCAAACAUCAAGUUGUAUAUGGAGAAAUAAUUCAACAUUGAAUAACCUUUCAGCACACACAUACAAACACAGAGAAAAGAAAAGAAAGAGUAGAAAGGAAAAUCUGCACUCAAUUCCAAACAAAACAAAACAAACUCAAACCCCAUAAAAUAAUAACUGCUUCCUUCCAUGCUUUAUCCACAGGCACCCCAAAUACAACAUGUCCCACACUGAGCUCAUGUCCUUUCUCCCACCCCAAUCUGCUCUUCCUCCUGUGUUUCUGAACUUGGUUGGUGGCAAUACCACCCAAACCAUGUCCCCUCAAAUUAGAAACCAAGUUGUCAUUUUUUACUUCUUUCUCUCUAACCCUCCUCUCCUUUAGUGCCAAACUAUUAGCCCUCAGAGUUGGAAUACUCUUCAGUAAAUCUUUUUCUUUCUGUUUAUUUCCUCUGCUGAUACUUAAGAGUGGCCUUCAGACUUUUUUUUACCUAAAUACCACCCAAAAUAAUUUUGAAAAACUAUGUAACUCCUAUAUAUUAGUAAGCUUCCCUCUAAAAUGUUUCAUCAUAAUUUCAAAUAUUUGCAAAGAAUCUAAUGCAACAUAUUAUGAAUACUGGCAUUUGAAAA
Long non-coding RNA from Equus asinus (donkey), 2624 nucleotides. Lineage: Eukaryota; Metazoa; Chordata; Mammalia; Perissodactyla; Equidae. The record is from Ensembl.